This 405-nucleotide unclassified non-coding RNA is filed under the name soil metagenome. RNAcentral describes it as "partial contains 5.8S ribosomal RNA, internal transcribed spacer 2, and large subunit ribosomal RNA". The stretch from base 1 to 121 matches the Rfam family "5.8S ribosomal RNA", at positions 35 to 154 of the family's 154-position model. The record is from RNAcentral.
GAUGAAGAACUCAGCGAAAUGCGAUAAGUAAUGUGAAUUGCAGAAUUCAGUGAAUCAUCGAAUCUUUGAACGCACCUUGCGCCCUUUGGCCAUUCCGAAGGGCAUGCCUGUUUGAGUAUCAUGAACACCUCAACUCUUUAUGGUUUUCCAUGAUGAGCUUGGACUCUGGGGGUUUUGCUGGCUCACAGUCGGCUCCUCUAAAAUGAAUCAGCUUACCAGUGUUUGGUGGGUAUCAUGGGUGUGAUAACUAUCUACGCUUGUGGUUUUUCCACCAGGUAACCUUCAGCAGUGGAGGUUCGCUGGAGCUCAUAGAUGUCUCUCCUCAGUGAGGACAGCCCUUUGAAUGUUUGAUCUCAAAUCAGGUAGGACUACCCGCUGAACUUAAGCAUAUCAAUAAGCGGAGGA